GCGAUGAGGACGCGCUCGGGACACUCACGUUUUCUGCACCGGCUUCCGCCGCUUGCGACUGGCGUAGGUGAUGUUGGCGCUGCUGCUGUUCAUGGUGCCCAGCCGACGGCGGCGGCUACUCCCCGGGCACUGGCGGCCGGGUCCCCGGAACCCGGUGUAGGCUGGGACCACUGCGGCGGCCGGCGCCGGGUUCCGCGAAGCCGCGCCCGCUCCACCUGCGUCCUCUCGGGACAGUGGCGUGGGCGCCGCGCCUCAACGCCUCGGCUCACGCAGGCUUCCGCAGCCCGCGCCAGUACAGUGUUGUGAACCACUUGUCAUGGGAUAACCAAAAUUAAACCUGGAAUCGCAGAAGAAACAAAUUUUUUGAAGAAAUUGGAUGUACUUUUUUAAAAUUUUUCAUUCAACUAAAACUUUGUUAACUGUUUCUUGGUUGUGGUCUUCUCUAAAUUGUAAUCUUUGGCAUUCACUUCCAAAGUAUCCACCACUAAACUUCAUAACAUUUAUUGUGUCUCUUCAUCAUUAAACUUUGAUGAAUUUACAGAGUGUCUUUUGAAAUUAUGUUCUUGAGAAAGCCAGGGGAUUGGACGGUGUCAUGGAAAUGUCAAAGAAAAAGUGACACCUGAGAGAAAAUUUGAAAGAUGAAAGUGCUGUUAAUACGGAAACUGGUCUAAUAUGGAAAACAGGUGAACAUGGAGCUGCUUUGUUUGACUCAGGGAUGAGAGAUACCCAGGUCCUAAUUACUUGUCUUUAACUUUCCUUAGGGAGUACUAAUUUGGGAGUCAUUGUUCUAAACAAUUAAAGUGAAGUAACUGUCCUGUUUUUCUCUUUUACCCUUGUGAACGAGGAAGCUCAGGGUUAAAGUCUAUGUCUUUACUUAUACAUUUCUGUGUUGUAGGAUCUUUUAAUAAAGAUUUUCUCCUUUUA
Molecule: long non-coding RNA, 924 nt
Filed under: Homo sapiens (human)
Lineage: Eukaryota; Metazoa; Chordata; Mammalia; Primates; Hominidae
Description: PREDICTED lncRNA (TCONS_00242501)
Source: RNAcentral